CUGUUUCAUACUUAUACAAACUUCAGGACGCUUCUAUAACUAUGAAACAGAGAUUUUCUCCCAUUCCACUGUCCCCUCCCAGUGAUCCCAGCAGAUAACGUCCUUAAUGAUCUGUAUGAUUUCUAACGGCAGUGCCAUCUCAGCAGCUUGAUCAGACCACCAGUUACAGUUCGUCCUUUAAAUGGUCUUAUCGGUUUAGUUUGCUAGGAAACCUUCUGAAAAUGUCACAUGUUUUUUUUUUGUUUUUUUUCAAAGGUGACCUGAAUGCAGCAUCAUCAGUGUUUAUGAGAUGUGUCUGAGUCCAGGAGGCAGAUGUAUAAAAGAUCCGUAAACACAAAUCAUUAGACAGAAUCUAAUAAUACGCAAACAUUAUUCAUUUAGAUUGAACAGAACUGUUGUGUCAAUCACAGUUUAAUUAUUCCUUUUAUAUAUUUAAAGGUACUAUUGAUAACAUUGAAAACAUUCAGCCACUACAUGUUGCAUUCUCCCUCCCCCGUUCCGUUGCAUUCACUUCACAACAAGUGGUUGCCAGU
Sebastes umbrosus (honeycomb rockfish) is the source of this 533-nucleotide long non-coding RNA. RefSeq lists it as uncharacterized. NCBI's taxonomy places the organism in Eukaryota, Metazoa, Chordata, Actinopteri, Perciformes, Sebastidae. The record is from RefSeq and is a predicted model, not a curated record. The transcript is spliced from 3 exons.